UACGUAGGUGACAAGCGUUGUCCGGAAUCACUGGGCGUAAAGGGCGCGUAGGCGGCCUGAUAAGUAGGGGGUGAAAUCCUGCGGCUUAACCGCAGGGCUGCCUUCUAAACUGUCAGGCUAGAGCACAGUAGAGGCAGGUGGAAUUCCCGGUGUAGCGGUGGAAUGCGUAGAGAUCGGGAAGAACAUCAGUGGCGAAGGCGGCCUGCUGGGCUGUUGCUGACGCUGAGGCGCGACAGCGUGGGGAGCAAACAGG
Molecule: ribosomal RNA, 253 nt
Filed under: uncultured bacterium
Lineage: Bacteria
Description: partial 16S ribosomal RNA
Rfam family: Bacterial small subunit ribosomal RNA
Source: RNAcentral